UAACCACUCAAGCCUGGCUUGGUAUUGGAGUUCGCUAUCGGCGGCUCCUAAAAUCAGUGGCGGUGCCUGUAGGCUCUACGCGUAGUAAUACUUCUCGCUAUAGGGUCCUGCGGGUGACUUGCCAACAACCCCUAAUUUUUUCA
This 143-nucleotide unclassified non-coding RNA is filed under the name uncultured Rhexocercosporidium. Its description in RNAcentral is "sequence contains ITS2". The record is from RNAcentral. Lineage: Eukaryota; Fungi; Ascomycota; Leotiomycetes.